This 122-nucleotide small RNA is filed under the name Kaistia soli DSM 19436. Its description in RNAcentral is "Alphaproteobacterial ar14". It matches the Rfam family "Alphaproteobacterial ar14". Rfam says of the family: Smr14C2 was renamed NfeR1 (Nodule Formation Efficiency RNA) highly expressed in salt stress and during the symbiotic interaction on legume roots. Lineage: Bacteria; Pseudomonadati; Pseudomonadota; Alphaproteobacteria; Hyphomicrobiales; Kaistiaceae. The record is from Rfam by way of RNAcentral.
GAGAUUCGCCAGGACGAACCUCCUCCCUCGUCCUCGCGAUCCGGCGGCCAGCGAACCUCCUCCCUCGCUUCGCCGCCCUCCAUGAGAACGCCCGCCGAUCUCCUCCCCGGCGGGCGUUUUUC